RNAcentral lists this ribosomal RNA (416 nucleotides) under uncultured bacterium. Its description in RNAcentral is "bacterial SSU rRNA". It matches the Rfam family "Bacterial small subunit ribosomal RNA", at positions 355 to 787 of the family's 1533-position model. The record is from RNAcentral.
UGGGGGAUAUUGCGCAAUGGGGGCAACCCUGACGCAGCAACGCCGCGUGAAGGAUGAAGGUUUUCGGAUUGUAAACUUCUUUUAUUAAGGACGAAAUUUGACGGUACUUAAUGAAUAAGCUCCGGCUAACUACGUGCCAGCAGCCGCGGUAAUACGUAGGGAGCAAGCGUUGUCCGGAUUUACUGGGUGUAAAGGGUGCGUAGGCGGCUUUGCAAGUCAGAUGUGAAAUCUAUGGGCUCAACCCAUAAACUGCAUUUGAAACUGUAGAGCUUGAGUGAAGUAGAGGCAGGCGGAAUUCCCCGUGUAGCGGUGAAAUGCGUAGAGAUGGGGAGGAACACCAGUGGCGAAGGCGGCCUGCUGGGCUUUAACUGACGCUGAGGCACGAAAGCGUGGGUAGCAAACAGGAUUAGAUACCC